Molecule: ribosomal RNA, 465 nt
Filed under: Vreelandella stevensii
Lineage: Bacteria; Pseudomonadati; Pseudomonadota; Gammaproteobacteria; Oceanospirillales; Halomonadaceae
Description: partial 16S ribosomal RNA
Rfam family: Bacterial small subunit ribosomal RNA
Source: RNAcentral
UCUACGGGAGGCAGCAGUGGGGAAUAUUGGACAAUGGGGGCAACCCUGAUCCAGCCAUGCCGCGUGUGUGAAGAAGGCCCUCGGGUUGUAAAGCACUUUCAGUGAGGAAGAACGCCUGGUGGUUAAUACCCAUCAGGAAAGACAUCACUCACAGAAGAAGCACCGGCUAACUCCGUGCCAGCAGCCGCGGUAAUACGGAGGGUGCGAGCGUUAAUCGGAAUUACUGGGCGUAAAGCGCGCGUAGGUGGCUUGAUAAGCCGGUUGUGAAAGCCCCGGGCUCAACCUGGGAACGGCAUCCGGAACUGUCAAGCUAGAGUGCAGGAGAGGAAGGUAGAAUUCCCGGUGUAGCGGUGAAAUGCGUAGAGAUCGGGAGGAAUACCAGUGGCGAAGGCGGCCUUCUGGACUGACACUGACACUGAGGUGCGAAAGCGUGGGUAGCAAACAGGAUUAGAUACCCCGGUAGUC